UUUAGUAGGAUUAGGAUUUGGUUUAGGGUUUGAUUUAGGAUUUCGAAUUUGUCUAAAAUUUGGUUUAGGAUUUAAGAUUUGAUUUAAAAUUCACUUAAGGAUCUAGGAUUUGAUCUAAGAUUUGGUUUAAGAUUUAGGAUUUGUAUAAGAUUUGAUUGAAAAUUUAUCUAAGGUUUAAUUUAGGAUUUGAUUUAGAGUUUAGAAUUUGAUCUAGGAUUUGAUUUAGAGUUUAAAGUUUAAUGUAGGAUUUGAUUUAGGAUUUAGAUUUUGUCUAAGAUUUGAUUUAUUAUUUGGUUUAGGAUUUAGAAUUUGUCUAGAAUUAGAUUGAAAUCUAUUGGGGUUUCAAUCAAGAUUAAAUUAUAACUUGAUUGAGAUUUAUUUAAGAUAUAUUUGUGAUUAUU
RNAcentral lists this long non-coding RNA (401 nucleotides) under Physcomitrium patens. RNAcentral's name for it is "long non-coding RNA (PPAT_LNC014418)". Lineage: Eukaryota; Viridiplantae; Streptophyta; Bryopsida; Funariales; Funariaceae. The record is from RNAcentral.